AAUUUCCAGGAAAAUUGAUGGAACUCGAAGCAACCAUUCUGAGCGAGUUCCUUGUGUCAGAAAAACAGCUCCUCUCUGGCACCAUGUCUACCUGCAUGAAGAUAAUGAACUAAACCUUUGAAAUUGCAAGCCAGCCCGAAUUAAAUGUUUUCUUUAUAAUAGUUGCAAUAGUCAUGGUGUCUAUUCACAGGAAUAGAAAUCCUAACUAUCACAGUCUUCAACUACUUAAAGCCUUGGUCUCCUUUGUUUCCUUUUCAAUGGUUUCAUUUCAUUACCCUGUGCUUCUUAUUUAACAAUUUAUUGGAUGAGACCUUUAUCAAACAUCAGGCUCAGCAAGAGACGGCACUGGAUCAACUGGAACUGGAGAUAUGGAAGGAUGUGAGCCCUCAUGCAGUACUAGAAACUGAACUAGGGUCCUCUGCUAUAUACUAAGUUCUCUUAAUUGCUGAGCCAUCUCUCCACCACCUCCACUGAUUAUACAGUACAUAAUAGAAUUUUGAGCACUUUUUCUGAGUUUUUCUUGUUCUUCAUACUUUUGGUAACCAGCUAAAAACUUUCUACCCUGUCCUAGGUAAUGAAGUUUAAACCUUAUGUUUUCUUCUAAAAGUUUAUAGUUCUAGUUCUCAAUUAAGUCCUUCACAUAUUUUGAACUAAUUUUUAGGUAGAAAUGAGAGCAGCAUCCAAUUUCAUUGCUUUGCAUGUAAAAAUUUAUCUGCCCUUUCACUAAUUGUUUUUCUCUUUAGACAGUGUGAACUGAAGGUCCCUGAAAAAUGAUUCACAUCUAAAUUAAGUUUCUAGAAUGCGCAUCCAUCUCGACUGUGGGAAGUUGGGAAUGCUACAGAGCCAGAGAUAAAUAGCCCAUAUUUGUCUUUCACACUGCAUAACAGCCACUCAUUCCUUGCCUUGUUUUUGGAUGUAACACCCACAACUACUACUUUGCUAUAUACACAUAUAUGGUAUUCCCAGGACUGCAUUUAUAACAUUCCUUUAAAAAAUCUUUUAAUUCUUCUGUAAUGAUAAGAAACCAUAUAAUCAGUUCUAUAUUGGAACUUAUUAUAGGGCAAUCUUAGUCCAGGUUUCAGUGUUGUUUGUCACUCACACUUGGUUCAAGUGUAAAAUAUUUCCCAUAUACUUUGAAGUGAGAGCAUUGUAUGAUGUCAACACUGGGAUGAGGAAAGACAUACUCUAUCUUUGGCCACAGGCUCCCCUUGAUGUGCUUUUAAUAACUAGUCUGGAGAAACCAUUUAUUUAUUGGAUAACUUUUUAUUUAUCCAAUUUUAAAAAUAUAAGCAUCAUAUUUAGAAUAUUCACUGAUUUCACUGACAAAGGGGUUCUAGCUUCUCGUGUAGUUGUUCUGAUAACAACACUGUCCCUUAGGUUUGAUGUCUCAAACUGUUGUCAUAACACUGUGAGUACUCAGAUGUUCCAAAGCACUGGAAGUUGACAUCAGAUCACCAUGGACAAUCUCGCUAUUCCUUGAUUUAGUUAACAUAUGCAGAGGGAAAAACUCACAUUAAUAUUAAAAUAUGAUAACAACUUACAUGAUUCAGACAAUUAUUAAGCCAGUAUCUGAUACUUAUAAAAUAAAAUACGGUUUUAGGAAAUAGAGGGCUAGCUCAGCAGUUAAGAGUACAUAUUUGUCUUAUAAACUACCUGGGUGUGGUUCCCAGCACCCACAUGGUAAGUCACAACCAUUUAUAAUUCCACUUCCAAUGGAUUUAAUGCUAACUUUUGACUACCACAAGCACACACAUGACAUGCAAAUAUAAACAUAUGUGGUAAAAACAAUAAUAUACAUCAAAAUAAAUAAAUUAGUAUAAAAGCGAAAAAAAAUUUUAGUUGUAGAUUUCCUGGUACAACAUUCCCAGAAUACUAACAUAAGCUUAUACCUUCCCAUAGUAUGCAUAAUUUAGAGACAGGAAUUAAACCCAUCUAUCUUCCGGCAGUGAGUAGUUUUUGCUAAUGAAUUUGACCAAAAACUUCAUAAAAAUGAUACAGUAGGUGACCUAAUGGGAAAUCUAUGAAAUAUCUUUAAGUGAUUCUGUUUAAUUUUCAUAUAUUAAAGUGUCACCUAGAAUUAUGCAAAAUUAUAAGAUAUAAACUUGUCCAUCAAGGGCUUUAUCAUUUAAACAUGGGUGUGAUUUGAGCAGUUGAUUCUUUUACAAUAAUACAGGAUCUUGAUGUCAUAUAAAUACAUGCUGGUAAAAGAAUACAAAUAAAAUGGUUAAAAAUUCAAA
Non-coding RNA from Cricetulus griseus (Chinese hamster), 2237 nucleotides. Lineage: Eukaryota; Metazoa; Chordata; Mammalia; Rodentia; Cricetidae. The record is from RefSeq and is a predicted model, not a curated record.